This 77-nucleotide transfer RNA is filed under the name Candidatus Amesiibacteriota bacterium. RNAcentral describes it as "Candidatus Amesbacteria bacterium (sediment metagenome) tRNA-Val". It matches the Rfam family "tRNA". From Rfam's summary of the family: Transfer RNA (tRNA) molecules are approximately 80 nucleotides in length. Their secondary structure includes four short double-helical elements and three loops (D, anti-codon, and T loops). Lineage: Bacteria; Candidatus Amesiibacteriota. The record is from RNAcentral.
GGGCGGUUAGCUCAGCUGGUUAGAGCGUCUGUUUUACAUACAGAAGGUCAUGGGUUCGACUCCUAUACCGCCCACAA